CGCUCGGUGGUGAAAUAGGAUCAUGGUUGUCUUACAAACAACAGUCGAAGGGGCAGAACCUUCCCGGGCGACCA
RNAcentral lists this transfer RNA (74 nucleotides) under Pedosphaera parvula Ellin514. RNAcentral describes it as "tRNA-Val". It matches the Rfam family "tRNA". Rfam says of the family: Transfer RNA (tRNA) molecules are approximately 80 nucleotides in length. Their secondary structure includes four short double-helical elements and three loops (D, anti-codon, and T loops). The record is from RNAcentral. Lineage: Bacteria; Pseudomonadati; Verrucomicrobiota; Pedosphaerae; Pedosphaerales; Pedosphaeraceae.